Oryzias melastigma (Indian medaka) is the source of this 860-nucleotide long non-coding RNA. RefSeq lists it as uncharacterized. The transcript has 3 exons. The record is from RefSeq and is a predicted model, not a curated record. Lineage: Eukaryota; Metazoa; Chordata; Actinopteri; Beloniformes; Adrianichthyidae.
GUUUGUUUGUUUGUUUAACAUCUUAGGAAGGAAGGAAUUCAGCAAAAUAUCUCUAUUUUUUUAAGAGUAUGUAAACCAUUAACAUGGGAUCCAACAUGAAAAUGGCCUUGUUUGGCCAACAGAACACACCAACUGAGAAGCAAAGGCAGAGUCGUCAUUUCCAACAAACCUGGGCUUACCGUUACACAGCCUUGUGAACACCACUGCACCAAGGCCAAGUCGGAUGUUCUCAGCAGAGAGGGUGUGCUGUCUGUACAACGGCUUGGCUUACCACCUAUCAUUCAGACAAAACCACUUCAGGGCUAUCUCCUCUAAAAUCUUGUGGAAAUGUUCAAACCAAAUGGAUGCGCGCGGACAAAAGGAGAACAAGCGUGUUUGUCCAUAAUUAGGGAAACAAAAAUAUACAGUAGUUCAAAAAUGCUGCCUCCGAUUGUUGGUGGUAUCUGCUCGGCGUGCUCGCUCUAUUCCUAUGAAUCACACAACUGCUGAAAAGGCUGUGAAAUCAUGGCAUCAGUAAGCCAUCUUUGCUGUAGUCAUUGCGGUGUGGAACAAAUGUGGCAUGUAUUAGACUCCAUCCCACACACUUAUUUGUAGAGGUGAACAUUCAACUCAAAAUGAAGUAUUUUUUUAUAUUUAUUUUCAUUUUACAAAUUUAAAGAGAAACAUGAGAUUGAUUGCAAUCUUUGAUGUAAAAAAAAAAAAGCUGCAUGCCAUAUGUUACAUAAGAAUGCAUAAUUCAAGGACAAAAGCGUUCCUGUUAAAAUCGAGAAAGAUGGAAGGAAGAAUGACAUGGGUGUGUUUCAGAAUCGUGCAUCUAAAAGGGAAGAAAUCGAGUUUCUAUUUUUAUAGACAAAAAAAAA